Molecule: ribosomal RNA, 301 nt
Filed under: uncultured bacterium
Lineage: Bacteria
Description: partial 16S ribosomal RNA
Rfam family: Bacterial small subunit ribosomal RNA
Source: RNAcentral
CAGCCGCCGCGGGAAUACGGAGGGGGCUAGCGUUGUUCGGAAUUACUGGGCGUAAAGCGCACGUAGGCGGCUUGGUAAGUUAGAGGUGAAAGCCUGGAGCUCAACUCCAGAAUUGCCUUUAAGACUGCCGAGCUAGCAGGUGAGAGAGGUAAGUGGAAUUCCGAGUGUAGAGGUGAAAUUCGUAGAUAUUCGGAAGAACACCAGUGGCGAAGGCGGCUUACUGGCUCAUACUGGACGCUGAGGUGCGAAAGCGUGGGGAGCAAACAGGAUUAGAGACCCGAGUAGUCCCUGUCUCUUAUAC